GUACACAAAGGAAUCUAGUUCCACUUUUUGUAUUUUUUGUAUUCAGUCUACAUCUCUGUCUAUGAUCUUUGGAAGUACCAUUUUGCUUCACCUGUAGUGUAUUCUUGCAUUUGCUUCCUAAGUAUCAACUGAAUGCAAUGUCUGAGUCAUUUCUGAAAUUACCUUUGCUGUCGGUGAUGCCCUGGCAUCUUUGUCUCUCAUCCAAAACUUUGCUCUUCGGUCUGUAACGUGCUACAGCUGCCGCUGCCAGGAGGCCUGGGGACUGCACUGAAUUACAGUCAUUUCUCCAUGGAGGCAACAGUCUUCACGGUAGAAGUCCUGCAUGCUUUGAAGAGCAGCAGGCAUGUUUUAAACUGGUGCUGCAAUUCCUACAAGACGAGGCAUGAGUGAAUAUAAGGUUCAGACAGAAGACACGCUCAUCCUCACUGAUCCAGUUUCAGGCUAAUUGCUCUUCUGUUCGUGUGUGUUGAAAAGAGAGCAUGAUGCAAGAAGAGAUGGCUGAAGUGAGCUACACAUCACAGCAAUGAGGUUGAAGAACCCAAAAUGAAACCUGUUUCCCAGCUCUGAUGUCCUCAUUAUUGAUGGAAGAUGAUUGUGCAUAAAGAACAAAGGAAAGUUGCAAGUACAAUAACCUACAGAUGACAGUCAGGAAGGAUUUGCAGAUACACUGAUGUUAAGGAGCUGACUGAGAUACCGAAGAAUGAUGAGAUACGGCAGCGCAGGAUCAAAAGGAGAGGAAGACAGGUCUCUGUGCAGUAUGGGAAUGACAGCACAGGAAGAAAAAUAUUACAGGCCCUACCACCCCAAUUCUCUCAUUAACUGCAUAAGGGAGGACAGCACAGAAUAAAACGUUCCUUGUCCCACCCAGCCACUGCUGAAACAGUGGGUGUUCCUGGUGAGCAUCGGGAGAAAAACAGCAAAUGCCAGCGAGAGACAGACACUGUGACAUCUCCCUUGGCAUGGAAAUACAAAACGGUGGGAAGCUUCCUGUGCUAUCAGUGUGAUCGCUGCAAGUUCUCCUUGCCGUAAUGCAGGAGGGGAUAAAUCUUGUUUCACUGAAGUGGAAAGCAGCGCAGCUCAGCUGAAAUUAUCUGCAAAAACAUAAGAAUGAAAAGACCCCUGCCCUCAUCCUCCAGUAAUGCUGCGUUUCUAAAUUGGAAAUGAAAGGCACAGGUGGAGAGUCAACUGCCUGCUUGUCAUAAGGCUAAAUAUUUCUUCACUCAAGUUGUAAUAAAUCCUGGAGUACUGUCUGCUCGCACAGGAGGAUUUCAGCACAGAAGCAUGCUGCAGAAAGAUCUUCCGGGGAAAAUGUAUUUUUGAGUACUCCAGACAAUUGAAACUAGCGAGCCCACUGUCUGGAGAAAGCAUCUGUAACCGCAGCCAAAAGAGGAACAAGAUUUCCGACAUUGUUUCAAGACAUGUGUUUGAAGCAUGGGUUCCCAUCACUUUCGGAGAAGAGCUUCAGCUAGGACUGGUGUGGAUUGAGAGCCAGGAAUCCUUUCUGCCUGAGUCCUGGACUGCUGAAAAACAGCUACACCAACACCCUCACACAGGCGUACUUCUUCACAUUUAUCCUAGGUCAUCACACCUCACGGGAGGCUUCCCUGCUUUUAAUGAGCAACUCAGAAACCACAGAGAGGACUGGAGAAUGGAAGUCAUUGGACGUUCUCAUGUUUGAAAACAGCUCCAUAGCAUUCACAAGAGGAUUCUUGGCACCUGCCUAGUUCAACUGGAUGUCCAAUGUUAUCUCCCCAGGCAAGUAAAAUUCUGGCAAUCACUGUAGUCCUAUUUCACUUAUUCUCAGUCUUUUUGACACAAACACAUUAAUUCUCUCAAGCUACUUUGGCAGCUGUAAGAAGUUCUCUCCUUUUUUUUAAUAUGAUUGAUAAUAUUGAAUAUUUCUUUUAACCUUUUACUGCAAUUGCUGGGCUAGGUGGUAGUUUCUCUGUUUGGAUGUUAAUCUCCAGCAUGCAGUAGCAAGUCUUCCAAUCGCCUACUCAUUCUGGAGCUCAUUUGUAAUAUGUUGCCAUUUAAUUUACAACUGCCUAUCAACCUCCACCUAGCACUAUCCCUACAACAUAUAAUGUCAUUCUUCCAACACUUCCACUGUCAAAGGUCAUAUAAAACAAAACAUUGCUUAAUACAGAAACUCCUUCUAGUUUAGCACAAAAAGAAUGGCAGCCCUUGGGCAAAAUUUGACUCCAUCAUUUCAUAUGAUGUGCUGGUUCCCUGAUUCAGUGCAGGACAUGUCUUGAAAUGUACAGGCAAAAAAUGUCAUCAUUGUCUUAAUUUCCAAUUUCUCAGAGGAAAAAAAAAAAGUUUCUUCGAGGAGACACAGAUAUAAAAACAAAGAGACCUCCCAGGCUGACUUGAAAUAUGUUCGAACUACACAUCCAUUCUCUGCUCCCUAGAACCCAGUAAAUAUUUCUUUGGCCCCACAAAAUAUUUUAGUUUGAACCCAGGAAACCUCAGAUUGACCUUGGAAAUAAGAUUCCUGAUUUUCAAAGUAAAUUUCUCAGCCACACCACUGGAGGAGUUACACUUUUCUGACUGAAACGUAUAAAACUUGUCUCUUUUGGCAAAUGGAGUAGAUUAUACUGUGGGAAGCUGGUUGUUUUCCCAAUUAACUGACCAUAGGCACGCUCAAAAUCUUUUUCUCAACUUUUAUAACCCAAUACAAUGCUGGUGGCAAGGUUAAAAUACCUUUUUUAGGCCAUUAGGGGCAAGGUUAAGCCACUGUAAAGUAGCAGAGUCUGUCUCAGUGGAUAUACACUGGCCUAUCCUGCUGAGCAUCUGGUGCAUGUCUCUACAGAGAUUUUGUUCUGUCUUCUCAUCAGGUUGUAUUGGAUGCUUUAGCAGCAUUUGAUCCUACAGUGUCCUUUUAGCUUACCUUGAAUCCCCUUUGAGAUUUUAGAUUACAUGUGUCUGGAUUUGAUUAGCUUUGUCAGUUUGUUUGCUUCUGAUGUUUUUCUCCUCUGCCAGCUUUUUUAACUCUUCUCUCACCCAAGACAAGAUCUCAUGCCCUGAUGCAACAUAAGGAAAACAUUCUUUCAAAAAAGUCUGUGGCGUUAUUUUCUGACGGUAUUCAGCUCAUAUUUAGGAAAAAAAUUCCUGGACCUGGUUAUCAGUUACCUGUAUGAGCGUGUAAGAUCAUGUUCCUCAUGGGAUAUAAGGACAAGAGAGGUCUCAAAUUAUUCUUAUAAUGUUGGUUGGCGUCAUAGCUGCUUCCAAGACGUCAGACGUAACUGCCUUUUAUACAACAGUCUUAUUCAAACCAGAUAAAAAAAAAUUAAGAUGGAUACUCUGAUUGGCAUCUGUCAUAUUAAUUGAAUUAAACUGCUGUAAUUCUAACAAACAAACAAAAAACCCCACCAAACUUGGUGCCAGGUGUUAAGGUGAGGUUUUUUCUCAGUGAGCCUCUUAGGUUUUGCUUCAGCUUGGGUUUCUCACUUCAGCCAACCAGAAGCACUGCAAUGCUAUCAGCUAGUGUUUCACUGAGGCUUCUGGUCCAGGGCAUCAGUGCAGAUAUCCAGCUGCCCAAGAUGUGGUCCUUGCACCCCCCCCAUGUCCUGCUGAAGUCAUUGACUCCUGUGUGCACUCAAGGUUUCACAAGGCUGCAGGUGGCAGCCACGUGGUGCAGGUUUAAGAGCUUCGUGGGGCUCAGGUAAUAUUCAUAUAUCUGAAAAGGACGACGCUGUCAAAACAGAAUGAACCUUUGAACUUUGUUAGGUUUUGAUAUGACCUUAAGCCUCAGAUUUAUAAAAACAAAGCAGAACAAACCCCACUGCUUGCUUGCUUUCAUUCUCUUUUCUGAUUUUGCACUAAAUUGUCAGCAAAGCAGACCUUUUACCUAUAAACAGAUGGUACACAAUUCUGUGGGAUUUUCCCACAUUUGAUGAACACACAUCAAGUUUAUUUACAUGAGUAUGGAAAAUAUUAAAAUGACUACCAGGUCUGUUCAGCGUAACACACCUGGAGCACAUUGCUGCCAGCAAGCUUCCAAGGUGGGGAGAUUCUGGCACACAGUUACAGUUCUGGGGAUUGGACCAUUUUUGACUUGGGUUAUUGCAUCUUUUGACACCUGAAGACAUAUUCACCUCUGACCUGGGAACAUCUGCACCAUCAAACUAUAAAAAGGGGAAUUGAAAUGUAGCCUUUUUUUUUUUUCCGCUUACUGUUAUUUUUAUUUUCUAUUGAAAGGGGUUUUAAAAGGCCUAUGAAAUGUAAAAUUGCUUUUUUGUCGUAGUUGCAAAACUCAUUUCACUUUUUUAUCUGAGAUGCACUUGUAGCAGAUUUCCAGAGUUAAAAAGGAGUACAGUAAUCCACAAUCCAAAGCACUGAGCGCAGCAUCUCUCAGUGCCUGGGGCAAAGGCCCAGUGGACUACCUUGUCCUUGCCCUCAUCACUCACCCAGACUUUUCCUCACCAAUUUGUUACCCACAAUAUUCUUAGAUAUUCUGACCUUCCUUCCUAAAGUAACAUUGACUUUUUUUUAACUAACUUUUUUUCCUUUCUUUACAAGCAGAAUUUUAUAAAUCCUUGGGGUGUUACUGCUGCUUCUCUGACAUGGCCAUCGUUAGAAUACCAGCCCUACUGGCGACUACGCAGGUGACACCUCUGGGAUAUCCUGAAAUGGCAAGAUCCAUGGGCAAACAGGACCUCAGAGCACUGAGGUACCUCCAAGCAGCUUGGCCCCGGUCCUUCGCCCUGCAGCUCCACCACCAAGGACUUACCUGCCUACACAGAGACUGGGUUGGCACUCUGAGGUCAGUCUCUACUGUGGAAGGAGUGCUGUGUGGGCUACAGAGAGCAGUAUCUCACCUGUGUCCUUUCUUUCCUGCUUAGUGAGCCAAUGCCUCAGUUCAUGCAGCACGCUCUUUGCAUUUUGGAAUAAAAAAGCCCUUCAAGGAAGGGAACUGCUCUCUCUCCUACCCUAGAAAAGAGUGCAUAUCCCACACAGAAAGGGUUCAUACAGCAGUCAGAAAGAGACAUAUAAGUUUAGAAACACUUGACAGGUCUGUGCUGCCUGACAGAUAGCCAGAUCAAUGCGGUCGUGUGCCUGAGCUACAGAGCCUGGGCUGUCACCUGGAUGUUCCCAAAGCCUGGGGCCUAACAAAAGCUGGGGUUAGGUGAGGUUUUGUGACAAGUAUUUACUGAAAACCUUGUAAGCAACUAGAAUACAGUUAGUCAUAAAAUGAAAGUAUUUAAAUUAUUUUCAAAUUCUGUUUAUUAUUUUUUAUUUUAUAGCAUGCAUAUUUCCAAGCACUGAAAUUACUAUAAUCCUGGCAAUGUAUGUCAAUGCUUCAAGCAUAGAACAGUGCAUUCUCUGUAGUGAUACAUAGCUCCUUUAAGCAGAUACACUGCCAGAUAUACUUAUGUAUAAUUCGUCCAGAUUAAAUUCUGGCUGUUUCUAGACAUUCCAGUUAUCACUUUGAUUGAUUUUUUGAGAAUGGCAGUAAGAAAGCAGAAUAAGAAACACAAAGCGAAUUCUCCAGUUGACUUCUGAAAGGAGAGUCAAUCCCACAAGAACUUUCUGCAGUGUGUAGUUUACAACUAUUGCAAAAAUAAGUGUGGGCCAUCACAAAGGAUGGGUGCAUAUUACCUGGAACAGCUUUUGUCUCUGGUUAUUUAGUAUUUGUGUUUUCUUUUAGUAACCCCGUUGGAAACCCAAGAUUACCUGUGAGCAACACAAUUAAACAGGUGGUUUAAGAACUGUACUCCUAAAUUGCCAGAGCUGUUUUACAGUGAGUCCUUUCCCAGUCACGUGAGUUCCAGCAAACAAAUUCCUGCAGGCUUUCCUGAAUACGGCAACCAGCACCAGCCACGGGAUUUUGUUGCUCCAGGCAAAACAUCAAAUGUAGGCCCCUCACAAGGCACCAUCAUGAGCGCAGGCAAGUGUUACAAAACAUUUUGCAGCCCUAGGCGGCUGCUGCUCUGCGUGGCUGGUGGCGGCAGUGCUGGCUCUGCAUGUCAAUUUGCCUAUCUCUCACCCAUUAGGCUCCCGUCCAUCUCCCUUUCUACCUUUGCACUGAGCUUACCUAAUUGGUUCUGCUCAGUGUGACUCCCAUCGCUGAACGCGGUCAGGUCCUGUCCUACCUUAGAGUGAUCCAUUACAAAUGGGGCAAAGGAGCAGCAAGUCUGGCAGCCCUCGGGGAGCAGCGCUGGGUGAAAUCGAAAUUUGCUAUUAGAAAUUUCUAGGAGUGAAACAAAGAGUGAAUGGCAUAGCCUGAACAGGGUGAGUGCAGUAAUGUUAUUGUAUUGUGAGAUUACAUGUACAGUGUCAUAGAGGACAGUGCUGAAGGAGAAGGAGGGAAUGAGCCAUAUUUAUCCUUUGUUUAAUUCCAUUUAAUUCAGUCCGUUUAUAAUGCAUUUGGCUCCAUUUCCUUUGAAAAUGUUAUUCUUAAAUAUGAUAGCUUUGUUUGUGCUCUCGUGCAGCAUAAAAAUGGAAGCUGUUUACACUGCAAAAGAAACCAGGGUAAGUAAACUUCAGCGAUAGGGCAAGUGAGUUCUAGCCCCAUAAUAUAUGGGAGUGCAGAGGUAUGUAACUGUAAGAGACAUCCUACUAAGAGGUAUAUUAUUUACAUGCUAGUAAUUGUCACUGGUGACUUCUCUAGACCUUUUUUUCUAUGGAGCAGUUGUUUACACUCAUCUGAAGUUAGUAAUGGGCCUGAUCUGGCACACUCACACAAAUACAGCUCCUCUCAGAAAUCAGUUUGUAUAGACUGGGGGCUUAGGCGCAUAUUUUAUUUGCAAACAGCUGGAACAGCUUAAGAACUUACCAUACCACGCACUGUUGCCCCAUGCAGAUUUCCAUCCCUUGCUGGCGGAGUAUGUCAUGCAAACAUUUUUGCUAGCUCUAGAGCAAUGCAGACUGGGAAUACUCACCCACUGAUUGCCUGGUGACAGCUGGGGGACAGCAUCGUCCCAGUGUGGGGCAGUGGCAGAUGGUGGGGGGAAAUGACUUAACUGAUCAUCCCAAAUAGCCCCUGCCAGAAAUGUGCUCAUGGAAUCAUCUAGGGUGGAACGGACCUUCGUGAUCAUCAAGUUCUGGACUGAAACACUCCCUGUGCUGCCCCAUCAGUGCUCUGCUUCCUGCGCUAGGCUGGAUCUCACCUGUCACCUGUUUAGGAUUGGGUGCUUGCCUUGCAAAUUUCUGAGGACAAGUGGCUUUCCAUGGACUCAGAAAUGAGUAUAUGAUCCCUCCUGCAGCUUUACAUAUGGAUGUAGAAUAAGCACUGGUGUUUGGCUUUCUUCAGUGUACUGUAUCUCCUUGUAUUCAGGCAUGACUCUCCCCUUUUUUGCUCUGUUGCAGUAUGCGUAUGACAUAAUGUUGGUAGAAUUGCUGAACCAGUACAGACUAGUUGUCUUUGCACAUAUGCUUUUGCACCAAUUGCUUUUAAGAUGAUCUAAAACCAACUGAAGCUUUAAAAUCUUUUUGGACAGAACUUCUGGGUGCCAGCAGACAGGAGCAAGCUCAGAUUAGCUUCAUGACGGAGUAGUCAGCUAGACUUCAGAAGGCUGCAUUACUGCAUGCAAAUAAAUGUGAAUCCCCUUCUGAGAUGGAAUUGGAAGCUCUGUGAAGGACCGUAACAUGGAGUAUGUAACUCAGAGUGAGAUUCAAGAAACGGUUUGUACAGCCACGCCAACAGCCCGAGCUUACCAUGAAAGGUAUGUGAAGGACAGAAAUAAUUUCUCUGAACCCAAAUCAGGUUUCUGGAUUUGUGAAGAAGGGUCUUUGGGGCAUCUCUUCUAGCGGAUUGCUUUUCUGAUUCUAGUGACUUGAGCUUUGCUUAGGGAUGGUGAGCGCGAGUUCCAUCCUCUAGAUGUAACUCUGUGAUCUCAGCUUUAUGGAGCAGUGCUUAUCACAGCUCGCUCUGCAUUGCUGAUGCACUGUGCUGAUGGCUCAGUACGAGCUGCCCCGCAGCUCCAUUCUUGGCUCUUCCCCCCUCUUUCCAGCUGGAGAUUUAAUUUCACUAACGAGAAAGUCCUGGAUCUACUUUUUGAGGUAGGCAAUGGCUGUUGUUGCCACCUGAACAUUAAAUGAUCACUAAUGGCAAGAAAAGAAAACUGCAGCAAUGUGGCUGGGAGAUCAGAUUGCUCCCUGAGGAAAGGGGCUCCCCAUAAUAUCUAGAUAAUGUGUGCAGGUCUGGGUGAACAUAUUUACACUCAGGGAGGUUUUACACAUUGCCAUUGCAGAGCAGUUCUAUUAACAGACCGCCGAAAGCGGGUGCAAAAGGCGGAUUGUGAGGACUCUGCUUAGUUCAGGCAUGGAAAGCAGCACGUUAUUCACAAGCAUUUACUUUAUUGCAGCCAGCGGCUGCCAAGCCAGCUUCUUGCAUUGAUGCAGGGAGUAUGACAAUUUUCACGUUGUAAACACUACGCAUUAAUCAGGGCACCUCGAUAUUAUGCAAACAAAAUGCAUGUACUUACAAAUACUUCCACUGUAUUUGAAUCAAAAAUAACACCGUGAAAAUGAAUGGAGUUGUCAGGCUCGUUUCAUCUGUCGAGAAAUUUGGGUCUGUGCAGGCAGCAGUUCCCCUGAGGUCUGAGACAUAUUUAUCCUGUAAUCACCGCAGAUUCCCCAAAUUAAAAUGAAACUUUAAAAUGUAAAUAAAAAUGCACACUUGGUAAAUCUAAUUUGACAGCAGAAAUCUGUUAGUGACAACAACAGGUCUUCCUUUAUCAGAUGAUUACCUUGUAGAAAAUCAUCUGUACGCUACUAGACAAUUGCCAUAUGAAAUGUUGGCCUUGCAUUUAUAUUGUGACAAACUGCAGAACUUCUUGCAUAAUUUUGUUUCAAAGGUAAGUAAAUCCUACGGGAACUUUUUUGAAGAGCGGGUUUUUUUUCCUAAAAUAUCCUGGAAGAUACUUCCCUCAGUCCUAUUCCUUCAUUUGCUUUUAAAUGGCUCCCACCUCCACACUCUACGCUGUUUUAGAUAGUGGUUUGAUUGAAGAAAUGAUGGCUGUGAUGAUUUUAAGUUCCGCACUAGGACUCCUGUGAGUAUACCCAGGUGCAGAGCAACUGUGCCUGUGAAGUUUUCCUACCGUAUAAAUGCACUUUUCCUGAAGCAAGAUGUUAGGAGGAAAUCCUGACUGAUAGCCAGCUAUAUCUCACCAUCUGAUAUCAGAUGUAUUUGUCAUGACUUUUCUAUUGACAUGGGUGUAUUUCUGUGUCUUAUAUAUUUUUUUUCACUGUUCUACCCAGAAUUGUUUCUGUGAUGGGAGACCCCACAAUGUGCCUGUGGGAGAAAUCUUUGCAGCCCACAAUGGUUUUUAAACAUUUCUAUCUAAGGCUGAAGAAAUCCCUGUCACCUCACUUCUAAACGUCUGUUUUUCCAGGGGAGGUGCAUUAUUCCCUUAUGUGGCAGGGAGACACUAGGAUAGAAAAAAAAAUUAAACUGGGAUCUAAAGGAAUGUGGCUUGAAAAAACAAAGUUCCUCCGUGCGAUCAAAUCAAAUUCUUCAUUUUUCCUCCUGCAUAGAGCUAAUAGACUCGUUCCAUCUGCCCUUGGUGACCACCGUGUAACAAAUCAGUGGGGAAAAUUUCGGGCCAAAGCAGCCUACCUGGGAUACCCGCUGAUUUUGUCAUUAGUCUAAGAAAAGGUACACAAAGGUUAGUGUGAUGCCUUGGGAUCGAUAACAGCACUGGAACCCAGGAAUUUUUCGAGUGUAUGGUACUUAAUUAGAACAAAGCAAGCCUAUUUCUAACAUGGGGACCAAGACAUUCCGCUACCAAAAAAAAAACAAACAAAAAAAGAUAUCAAAAGGGAAAUAAUGACAGGCGUUAGGAUGUGAGAGUAUUCCUAACUACUAGCACUCUCUAGGUCCUCUGCGCAGUCACGUAAAACGCCGUGGAAGCCUUGUGCAGUGCAGCGCGCUCAUCUUUCCGUAGGUCUUUCCUGCCCCGCGGGCUGGACAAACAGAGCCGCUGCCUGCAGCCGGAGCGGGAUGCUGCUGGCACCGGAACGCGGCCAUCCAGGUACUGCCCUCGGUUUGCAGCCAUCCUGCCCGAGUGUGAGGACUUUCCACCCAGCUUGUUUGCCUCGUGAUUUAUGUCUGAAUUGACAGAGUCCUUCGGAGGCAUUCGUGUUAAAUUUGAAACAAACAUAUUUAAUGCUUCUGUUGUAAUAAAACAGCUAAAAGAGAAGAUUAAAAAGAUAUGCACAGAGGGCUCCGAUUGAUUGAGGGAUUGAUUUUACUACUUUUCCCGUAGGUGGGUAGUGAUGGCUGUAAAUCUCUCGAUAAUCAUUUCAGAAGCACCUUCAUCAAUAAACUCGGAAGGGACAGCGAGGUGUAAAAAUGUGCCGGCCAUCGGGUCAGACAAAGGCAGCAAACGUGCAAAGAAAGAACGGAAUUAAACAAUCCCACCUUGGCCGCUUAUGGCAUUAGUCACGUCCGCUUUUAUCUCGGGGGCGGGGGAGUUCCCCAUCGCUGGAUUCUAUGAGAUUUGGGGCAGAGAGAGGGGGAGGCUCUUUCCCUCCUUUUUUUUUUUCUUUUUCUUUUUCUUUCCUUUUUCCCCUUUAGUUCAACCCGUACUGCUUACGAUUCCAUUAUGCGGCUAAAAGCUCGUGUUUGUGAGCAAUGAUCAAUUAUUAGUUGUCACUAAUAAUGGAGAAGGAUUCCAUGCUGGCUCUCCCCCUCUCCUCCUAUUUCUUUUUCCCUGAGGAGUUAUCAUUAAGAAAUAAUAAUAAUACCAAGGUGAGAGGGGGGCAGCGGCGGGCAGGGGCCGAGCCGCCGUUCCCUCGCCGGGCAGCGCCGAGCCGCGGUGCCGCAAUGCUGCCCGGGCAGCGCCCCGGGACGGCCUCAAACUUCGUGGUGCGUCGGAGCACGGAGUUCCCGGCUGAGGGCAGCAUCUGGAAGCCCCUAAUUACACACGCUGCUGAAAUAGAUGUAACCCGGUGUAGCUGAAAAGCGGCUUGCUUUAGGGGUCAACUGCAGCGACGUUUGAAGCCUUUAUGCAGUGUAUUUUUUUUUUUUUUAGUUUAAAAAGAGAACGGAGAGAACGGAGAGGAGGAAAAAAAAGGCAAAGAAGGGAAGAAAGGGACAAGUCCUGCUGCGGAGGAGCAGGUAUCUCGCAGCACGGAGCGGGGCCGGGCAGCUGUGUGCCCGGCGGUGCCGCAGCGGCGCUGCCCCGGGCUGCGGGCGGAGGUGUGCGGCAAAGGGAGAGCGGUGGCACUGCCCCGGCUCGGUGUGAGCGUGUGUCACAGCUGUGUGCGGACUGCGGAGCUUUUAACCCCUGAGUGCUGAGGGUGUCGGGGCUGAGCGCAAACCUUAAUAACAAUAAUCCAGGCUGGUGCGUUGCGUCUCAUUGAAAGCGUCUCUCGGCAGAAUGAACUGCAAAUUAUCCCCUGUUUG
Long non-coding RNA from Numida meleagris (helmeted guineafowl), 11353 nucleotides. RefSeq lists it as uncharacterized. The transcript is spliced from 10 exons. Lineage: Eukaryota; Metazoa; Chordata; Aves; Galliformes; Numididae. The record is from RefSeq and is a predicted model, not a curated record.